AUACGGAGGAUCCGAGCGUUAUCCGGAUUUAUUGGGUUUAAAGGGUGCGCAGGCGGCCAUUUAAGUCAGCGGUUAAAUCGUGGGGCUCAACCCCAUUCUGCCGUUGAUACUGGGUGGCUUGAUUGCGGUCGAGGUUGGCGGAAUUCGUUGUGUAGCGGUGAAAUGCAUAGAUAUGACGAAGAACACCGAUUGCGUAGGCAGCUGACCAGACCGCAAAUGACGCUCAUGCAUGAAAGUGCGGGGAUCGAACAGGAUUAGAUACCCUGGUAGUCCGCACAGUAAACGAUGAAUACUUGUUUUCGGCGAUAUAAUGUCGGAGGCAAAGCGAAAGCGAUAAGUAUUCCACCUGGGGAGUACGCCGGCAACGGUGAAACUCAAAUGAAUUGACGGGG
RNAcentral lists this ribosomal RNA (392 nucleotides) under uncultured bacterium. Its description in RNAcentral is "partial 16S ribosomal RNA". It matches the Rfam family "Bacterial small subunit ribosomal RNA", at positions 523 to 918 of the family's 1533-position model. The record is from RNAcentral.